RNAcentral lists this ribosomal RNA (423 nucleotides) under uncultured soil bacterium. RNAcentral's name for it is "bacterial SSU rRNA". It matches the Rfam family "Bacterial small subunit ribosomal RNA", at positions 26 to 442 of the family's 1533-position model. The record is from RNAcentral.
AGAUUGAACGCUGGCGGCAUGCCUUACACAUGCAAGUCGAACGGCAGCACGGGGGCAACCCUGGUGGCGAGUGGCGAACGGGUGAGUAAUGCAUCGGAACGUGCCCAGUAGUGGGGGAUAACUAGGUCGAAGGAUUAGCUAAUACCGCAUACGACCUACGGGUGAAAGCGGGGGAUUCGCAAGAACCUCGCGCUAUCGGAGCGGCCGAUGUCUGAUUAGCUAGUUGGCGGGGUAAAAGCCCACCAAGGCUUCGAUCAGUAGCUGGUCUGAGAGGACGACCAGCCGACACUGGGACUGAGACACGGCCCAGACUCCUACGGGAGGCAGCAGUGGGAAUUUUGGACAAGUGGGCGCAAGCCUGACUCCAGCCAUGCCGCGGUGCGGGAAGAACGGUCCUUCGGGUUACGUAACCGUCGUUUUGGU